Molecule: long non-coding RNA, 1985 nt
Organism: Glycine soja
Lineage: Eukaryota; Viridiplantae; Streptophyta; Magnoliopsida; Fabales; Fabaceae
Exons: 5
Source: RefSeq, a predicted model, not a curated record
CUGACGCCGCACUUCUCAAGCUCCUGUGUGUAUGUUCAACGAGGCUGCUCUUUGUUGCACUAAAGAUGAGUUUUAUUUUGUGCUGAUCUUGCUCUUCUUUUUUUUUUUUUACAAUGACAACAGUGAGAAUGAUCACGUAUUUUGGGUGUCUAGAAUUAUCAUAAUCUGCAUGUUAAUCUUUUUAGAUAAAUUUUGCAAAUAUUGUUAGGGUAUUAGAAAAAGAAAAUUUCUUGACAAGUUUGUAACCAUGCUGGUUUCCAUUGUAGCAAGGCAACCUAGUCUACAUAAUUUAUUAUUGUGCUUUCAAGCUGUGGAAUAGCAUUUGAGAGUGUAGGAGAUACCUUCCAUUGCUAAUAGGAUUAAUGAAGUAACAAGGGGCCUAACUCAAUUGGUUAAACAUGGUGUGAGUGUUGUAAACUUCCCAGUACCGUGUUCAAUUCAUAGGAUAGAAAAAUAGGAUGAAUGGAGUGGUAGCUGGUUAGAGUAGAGUUUUUCCUUAUUGCCUCAAUAUUAGUGGAAAACAAAAAAAAAGUGUUGGACAUUUUGCUAGGAAAAUGUCUGAUACAGCAGCCAUGGUUUGCUAAAUAUGAAAACGAUUUAUUGUAGUGAUCCUGCCUAAUGUAAUUUUUUGGAAGAGUAGAAUGUUCAUAAUCUGUAUUUGUUGAUGUUUUUUUUUACUGAACCUCAAUUGAGAUUUGAGCCACAUUGUGUGGAUUUGAAAGAAAUAGGUAGGAUAUGUUGAGACCUUUAACAGUUGGUUUAUAAUGCAGGCUCUGUCUGAAUCAAAAUUUCUAGGUACCAUCUUCUCAUUUUUGUCUAAGGAACUUGUGAAAGGGUAGCCUGUUGGUGCUUUUGUAGUUCUCUUCCCUAUUGCCACACAAGUAUCGAGAAUUUGACCAAUAUAGGUAUUUUUUUAAAACUAAAUAUCACUUUGGAGUGGUUUUCAAACAAUUUAUCAGACCGAGUGAUUCCUGUCAUGUAGAAAAUUGAUGGUGUCAGUCAACUCAGCUCCAGCUGGUGGCACCACUCCGAAGAAUUUCAUAUGUGUGAAUGACUUGGUGAUACCAUUCUAGGUGACUUCACCCAGUCAAACACGUUUCACCCAAAGUUGUAUUUAGUUUAAAAAUACCUCUAUAGUCUAUUCUCCACAGAAUAUGAGAUCUCCCGCCAUAUUUAUCCUUGACAAUGCUUCUCUGAAAAAGGGUCUUGUUAAGAAGAAAUGGAAAAUUCUAAACUCAGAUGAGGACGCAUAGUUUCUAAUGAAGCAAAAGAAGAAUCUAAAUGAUUAUCGGCCAGACAUAAUUCACGAGGCUCUCCGUUGCAUUCUAGAUAGCCCUCUUAAUAAAGCUGGCAUGGUAGGGGCAAUAUACGUUAAAAUGGAUCAACGAGGAGUGUUUGAAGUCAAACCACAUGUUCGUAUACCAAGAACGUGUAAUCGAUUCUGUGGUGUCAUAAGUAAACUUUCUUAUCAUUUUCUUCUUCCUUUUUUUCUUUUCUAUUUCCAACUAUUGUUUGUAGUUUGAGUAAUAUCUUCAUGCAUAUUGAAACUUAUGCUGUACUAUAGUAGAAUUGCUUCAAAAAACUGUGGUGUCAUAAGUUCUUCUUCGUGUUGUUGAGGAACCUAUAACACGCCAUUUGCCUGUCAACUCUCACAUAGUAGGUCUCUCUUAUACUUCAGAAAAGUUGGUUGACAUAGAGGAAUAUGUCUCAGUUUGGAGCAAUGAUUUGAGUCCUGUUUUUGUGGUAGGCACAAUGGUGAAUGGGAAAGUAAAAGGGGACUAUAUGCAUGAUUAUAUUUCAAGUUUAAGUUCUGAAAAAUGUGUUUUUAUUUUUUUUAUCGUAGAAUAUUAGAAAUCAAUUCCUUGAUGGUAUUUUGAUUAUGCUACUUGGAAUAUAAAUGAGAGAGAGAGAGAGAGGGAAUUUAGGGAUUGCCCUUCAAGGUUUAUCCCAGCGUGUCCAUGACCAAAGCCGAAUACAUUUACAUA